This 43034-nucleotide long non-coding RNA is filed under the name Coffea arabica (coffee). RNAcentral's name for it is "long non-coding RNA (CARA_LNC004944)". The stretch from base 5555 to 5636 matches the Rfam family "tRNA". The record is from RNAcentral. Lineage: Eukaryota; Viridiplantae; Streptophyta; Magnoliopsida; Gentianales; Rubiaceae.
AGGGUAAGAAAAUACUAGUACCAAGUAGCUAUGCUUAUGUUUUUGCAAGAUUUCCAUCGGUCAUUAACUUGAUUUUCUUAUUUUUCAAUAGAAAUAUCAUACGAUCUCCGUAAAUGAAUAGUAUGGAUUAUAGGAUGAAUUACAAAUGUUUGCCUGGUUGACAAUUAUUGUUUGCAGAGGACAAGGCAAAGGAACCCGAACAAUAUGGAGGUCGGUGUCGUUAUGGCUGCUGUGGUCGUCGGGGCCCCUAUGGUUGUAGUAAGUGCUGCAGAACAGGUAAUAGUUGCACCAUUCAAAGAAACAGGAUUUAAAUGCGUGAACAGUAUUUGUAACUUAAAAAGUUGUGUUGUCCAUGUAGCUAAUGAAGCUGAAGCAACCCAAGUAAACGCUGACAUCAAUGGCAAUGAAGGCGGUGGACAUGGUGGUGGCGGCGGCUAUGGAGGUGGUGGCGGCGGACAUGGUGGUGGCGGCGGCUAUGGAGGUGGUGGUGGUGGCAGCGGAGGUGGUCAUGGUGGGGGAGGUGGUCAUGGUGGUGGAGGUGGAUAUGGUGGGCACUGCAGGUACGGCUGUUGUGGUGGCUAUGGCAAAUAUUGCAGGUGCUGCUACAACCCUGAAGAAGCUCAAGCUUUUGUACAAAAUGAGAACUGAGCCAAGCCAUAAAUCAAGGAAACUUCCAUGUACAAGUUUGCGUGAAUAACUACAUGGUUGAAUGUUGAUCUUAUGACAAAAAUAAAAUACUUAGUACAUGUGCUUCUGUGCUUAGCACAUAUGUAAGGAAUAAAAAGUUUCAGUCAUCAUUUGAUGAUGUGAAUUUCAACAAGUGUCCUUCAAUCCCAUGCCUGGAUUUUUUUUUUUUUUUUUUUUUUUAAAUUUGACAUCUGCUACUUGUCAUGUUUGUCUUUGCUCUUAACAUUUGCACUUGAAUGCUCCAGUCAAAAUUUAAGUAAAUUUGUGAAAUAAAUAAAAAUAGCAACACCAGACCAAUCAUUCAUGAUAGAAGUAGGAAGUAGGAAGCCAGAGAGAUAAUUGGAAAGUACACUCGAUUAAAGAAAAAACAACGAAAGCCACAUAAAAUCAGAAAAAAAAAAUUAAAUCGAGUGUAAUUGGCAGGGUACGUAUUCAUGCCACUGAUGGAGGCAAUGUAGUUGCAGGAAUUGCUGGCUUUGUGGGCUAUGACCAUAUAGAGUUGUAAGUAAUUUCUCACAGUAAAUGUUCUGCUUGUUCGUGGAAACAAGAGAACUAAAGCAUCAUCAGGUUUGACAAAUGCAAGUGCACAUCUUUGGACUUGGGAGUUGGGAGGACUCGGGAGCUAAUACCUACAUAGAAAAUGGGCGAUGGAUGAAGAAAGGUGCUACAGACUUUUUAUGUCCUCCAAUGUGGGUGGCAGAAUACACUUUCCUUGAAGUUGAUCAGCGAGAUUACUUUUGUGAUUGCUGAAAUUCAUGACAAAACGGUUCAACAUCUUCAAUCACAAAUUCGUCGAACUGCAAUUAUAAUCUCAUUGGACCAAACUCGAGUAAGCAAAUCAAAUCAAAUCGCUAAUGUCACUUCUUCCAAGUAGCGCUGACAUUCUAAGAUUGACAAGGAAAUGCAGGCUUUGACUCAUCAUUUACUUAAAGCAGGAUACAACAGCAAAAGAAAUCCAGAAGCAAAGAAUAUGAAACUAACCUGAAAACAAAGAUUUAGUAUUUCACAUUUAGAACAGUUACACGCAAAUCAAAAACAUUUUUGCUGCAUUGGGUCGGUGAACAUCCGUACAAGCAUGUGUUACAACAAGAUGUAUACAGUCUCAGGAGUCAUGCUACUAAAGUUUGAUGCCCGAUGCUCUCAGAAGAUAAAAUGGAACUCAGACACGUCGCUGAAGACUGGAGAGUCACUCAUCACUCAAAUGGUGGUCUUCUUAGACAAAGAAAUACCAUUAUCACAGCUGUUUAAGUAAAAUCCAACAGUCAAAGGCAACCAAAAAUAGUUAAAAUGAGGCAUAAAACAAAUAGAUUUCACAUCAGACUUCAACGACACUACUUGUAAGCUUGCAUUUCUGCAAAAGUGACUUAAGAAAGGGUGCCGGAUGAUAUGUUUGAGAAACCAAAGAUUGCAUUAGUUAAAUCCGCAUUUAAAUGCACAUUAUAUACUUAGCCAGUCGUAUUGACCAUCCCAAUUAGUCACGAGAAUCAUACAACUCAAGGCUGAUUAUCAAAUCAAAAGGAGUGGUUUGAAAACACAAAAUUUGGAAAAGAUGGCCAAUGGAAAUGUGGUUACAAGUACGAUUGAAUAUGAGAAACAUAACAAACUUGAUAGAUCUUCCUGCUGAAGUUAUUUGCUUUUCUUUUAAUUAGUUCAUAAAAUGUUAUUCGACUAUAAUAGUCAGCAGAAAGACAUCCAGAAAUUUUCUCACUCCAUAAUUGAAUUUAAGAAAAGAAAUUUAUACUAUAAGUUAAGUCUAUGCCAAUGAACAAGUUGCACAAAAUUAGUCCUUAAAUAACUGAAACACGGCAAGAUAUAUUUAUGAAAUACACCAUACUUGCAAGUAAGCUUAGUCAAUUUAAACAAGAAGAAGCAUCAGAUAAAUAAGAUCGUUUAAUAGUAAGAGGCAAAGGAAAGAAUAUUACCCAUGAUGCGAGCCUUAAGGGUGAUGAGGUUGCAGUCUCUUCAGAAAAAAGGGUCAUACUAAAGAACCAGAAGAGUUCUUAAGCCUUGUCUUAGCGCUUGAAAAAAACAAUAUCUCUGCCGCAGCUAACUUUGAUAGCUUCCUCCAAACUCUCCAUCUGAUCAAAAUCAACUUUGAAGGUUACCAUGGUAACACCAUCUUUUCCAGUGUCAUAAUCUUGCUUAAUGUCUUCAGCCCGAAAUGAUUGUAGCUGCAAGAUACACAAAUGGUGUAUUUGUGAGACAACUGUUUACGAUGUUGAGAUGCACUAAUCACAACCUCAUCAAACAAGUCAAUGCAUUGAUGACAUUUAGCAAACUGGUAAUAUAUGAAAAACUGACGUAUGCUCCACAUGUCAAAAUGACAAUCAAAACAUGAUUUGUCAUGACAAUAUUUGACAGUUAAUUAGCCAGCAACACAACCAGAAGAGAACUUAUAAAUCCUCUGAAUCUUACCUGAUGGUAGAGAACCCCCAAAAGGUCAUAUGGAAUCUCCAAGCCCAUUGGAACCUACAAAUCAAGAUCCUUGUCACAAUAUUUAAUUCAUGAAGCAGAUUUCAAUGUGCAAAGUACGAAGUGGAAAAGAAACUUAUAGAAUUAGACUACUAUUGAUUCAAUAGGCACAAGUUUUAGAGAAUGUAAAAGCCAGCAAGGAUGAGUUGUUACUUUGGACUUGACAAGACAAGUGGGGGCAUUUCUCAAACAAUCAGCAGCAACCCCUCCAUAAGCCCUGACUAAACCUCCGGUGCCAAGUUUAAUACCUCCGAAGUACCUAAAUUAUGAAAUGCAAAAAGAUGAACAUCUUGAAUAGCUUCUCUCCCUAGAUAGAAAAGCCAAAUAACAGACUAAUGGAUGUCAAAAACUUAAUGCAUGUAUCAAAAAAUGAAAAUUGUUACGUAAAAACAACACUCUCUACAUUUCAUUCACAAAAGAAACAUUUGAAUCAGAGCCAAAGGGAAAAAAGCAAUAGCAUGGCCCCAAAAAAUGUGCAACAUUUGUCUACCUGAUCACGACUACCAUAACUCUAUCAAUCCCAGAAGAUUCAAUUGCAGAAAGUAUUGGCUUGCCUGCUGUACCAGAUGGUUCACCGUCAUCAUUACUCCGAAACUGAUCCCCAACCUAGAAUUCACAAAUAACUGCAUUUGCGUCGAAAACAACCAACAAACAAAAGGGGCAAAGAGAAAUAAAAGCCUCAUAAUUGAUUCAAGUACCCCAAGAAUCACUAAUAACUAUCAUACCGGAAAAGAUCAAAUUUUGUACCUUAUAUGCCCAACAAUUAUGAGUAGCCUUGGGGUCACGAACCUUAUUUCCAAACAAAACAAAAAAUAAGUCUUUAAUGGCAAAAAUAAAAAAAUAAAAAAAACCAAAAGUAAAAUGCAAGAAAGAAGAGAGGAAGGAGUGAUUAUUAAUACCUCAGUGAGGAAGGCCUGAGCAGAGCGUUCAUUAGAGAUGGUGCCAGCAAUGGCGAUAAAUUUACUCUUCUUUAUCUCUGUCUGAAAUGUGACCCUUUCUUUAAUUGUGGUAAAGGCACCACCUUUUUUAUUAUUAUUGGGAUUAGAAUCAGACGCAGUGAUGCUAUUGCUGCUAAUGGUGGCCAUUGGCGUUAGAUAAAUACAGGGUUUUGUCUGAAUUACGGAGAACGAGGGAAGAAAACGGUGACGGUGAUUCUGAAGAUUGUGAUGGAGAAGAAGGGCUUUGUUCAGAUUCUUGAAAGGGAUUGAGAGAAUCCGCAUAGAAGCAGCCGCCUGCAUCAGCAAAAACCUUAAUUUCUUUCCAUCUAAAACGUUGUCGUGAUGGUGGAAUUCGAUUAAGGUUUCGUUCUUUGUUUUUUAUGCUCAAUUUUGAGGACAGAAAAAUAUGCAAGCAACAAAAUAGUCUUUAGGAUUAUAGAGCACGCUUUAAAAUAUGCAAGCAACAAAAUAUUCUUUAGAAACAUCGAGGCGUGGAACUCUUGAGUAUUAUAUGGGACGCUUUAGAUUGAGGGCGCAAAAGGAUGGGGAUAUUUGGGGGAAAAAAAAAAAAGUUACCCCACAUUUGUGAUUUGUUACUCGAAUAGACAAAAUUUGGAAAAUGCACUUCCAUCCAUUAAAAAGUAACUUUAAGAAGUUAGCCUAGAACGACAUAUGCAUAAUUUGGCUUAAAUACCUACAUUUUGAGAAUUUCCUUGAAAAUGUUAUUUGCGCCAUUUCUGUUAAUUACACUCCCACUAUUAUUUUAAUCAUAUAAUUUUUGUUUGUUAGAACAUAUAAUAAAACAAAUUAUGCUAGUGCAAGUAACAAAAAAUGAGUGCAAAUAAUAUUUCUCUUUUCCUUUUGCUCAAGUUAUGCAAGUAGUAUUUCCUCUGUCAACGAGCAAUUCUUAGGUUUUUUAAUGAAGGACAACAAAAGUAUGAAAAUACAUAUUCAAAUGAUGUCCAUGCCAAAAUAAGAAGACCACCAUGCAAAGAAAUAUGUCAUUGUGAAUUUUAAUAUUAAAUUAUCAAGGCUUACUGCAAAAUAAAAUGUAAAAGAUCAAUAUGAUGUUAAGAGAUGUGAUUCGCUAACUAAAGGUUUUUUCAUGAUUAAAUUGGAUUGGCACUCCUCAAAAAUGCCCCUUUUCAAUCCAAAAGUCUCAUACUAAAUAUGAAAAUAAAAAAAAAAAAACAAACUAAGAUGAUGGUCUUUUCAUUCGAACCUUCAUUUUGUACUAAACAUAGAACUAGAAAUAAGUUAUAAAAACAUGAUCUAUUCAAGUUUAUGUGAAAAAAGUAAAUUUUUCACAAAAAAAUUUUGCAUGUGCUGAUGAGCCAAAAUAAGCAAAAUACCACACUUUCCUAGUAAAUCAAGCACAAAUGCAAGGAAUUGUUUUUGCUUUCUAAUACUAUUGAAAACUAUAAUUUUUUAUUCGCUUCGCUGUCUCCAUCCCCAACGUCGCUUUGGCCGAGUGGUUAAGGCGUGUGCCUGCUAAGUACAUGGGGUUUCCCCGCGAGAGUUCGAAUCUCUCAGGCGACGACUCUUUUACCUUUUCGGCUUCCGUUUGCUCUUACAAUCUCACCGACUACUUUCUAGUAGUUCUUCACUUUUGACCGUUAAACACUUGUUCUUUCUCCGGCUUUCAAGUCAAGACAACUUUUCGUCCACAUUAAUCGGAGAACCUGAAAUGGGAACUGGAAGGGGACCUCACCGGAGAAAGUCAAUGACCACCUCUCCCUCUGUGGCUCUGUCCCCCUCCCCCAUAUAUACCUCUUCUGACUUUUGAAUUGUCUCAAGACCGACCCUAACGCGGUGACUCGGCCAUCCCUCCAACCAGUUUGGUGAACUGGGCAAUCCAGCCAACAACAACUCACCAAUCAAUAAGUCCAAUGCAUUAGGUCCACCCUCUUGACACGUAGCAUUUUCUUUUUUUUUUUUUUCAAGAAAAAUGUUUGGGUACAUUCAGCUCCAAUCAAUACUGGUGUAUACCUCCCGAACCAUAGAUCGCUUACAGAAAUUUUUACAGAUCGCCUACCAACACAGUUUUCACAUUGGCGGCGGGAUUCGCAUACAUAAUCUUUUGUAAAAAAGUGAUUCAUUCUUAUUAAUUGGACCAACUUGUGUAAAAAAGUGAUUCAUUCUUAUUAAUUGGACCAACUUGUGUUGACAUAGCCUUUGUUGUUCAUGAAAAAGGUUGCAUUUCCUUUCAAGUCUGGAGUAGUGACUUAUGGGAAUUGGAAAAUAAGGGUGCAUUUAAUAAAAUUGAAAUUUGAGAUUUGAAAUCUAAAAUCUAAAUUUAGCAAAUUACUAAAUUAUUAAGUACCAAAUUUAAUAGUACAUUUGAGUGUAUGUCACAUUAAGUGAUAAGUGAAUAGCUUAUCACUUAUUUUUUUUAUCCAAAUUUUGUCUUAAAAAAUUCAGCGUCAUUUAAUUAGUUCAAAUAUUUUAUUUUUAGUUAUCAAACGUGUCGAAAUAAGUUAAAAUUUGAAUACACUAAAUUUAAGUGAUGAAUUAGGUUAGCAAACACGGUGGAGUCAAGCUUAACAUUUGGCUGCAAUCAAAGGGUUAACGGCCCCGUCAGUCUAUGACCAUAUUUAAUUUCAAUGAUAAUGUGAACGACUAACAUAUUUUAUCAGCCUCAUUUUUUCUCAAACUUUUUGACAGUUGCCAUUAGCCUCAUCUACCUGAUGGAAUUGGUGUCCUUUAACGUGGUCAAGUGACGUUUUCUUCUUCCAUGGGCCAAUUACUUGGGAAUUUUUUUUCUUUAAUUAUAUGAUUAAAAUUAACACACAAUAAUGACAACAAUACUGAGCACACACAGAUUAAAACUGAUCAACAACAUUACAGCUAAUAACAUUAGAAAAUGUGGGAUGGUAACUAAUAAAUUCACAUUCAGUGAGAUUUAAACCCAAGAUUUGUUUAUUUACAUGAUUUAUAAAUCGUCUCUAUUAAAUUAACCUUUUUAAGUUAGCAUGGCAAAUAAUCAUCAAGCGAUCUGUGUAUCUACAUGAGCAGAAAUUUUACAAAACCAUUAUUUGAAUUACUCUAUAUGCAUAUGUUUUGAUGCCCUCAAAUUGUUCAGAAUACUUCAAUAAACAACCUAUUCAGUCGACACAUUUUUCAGUAUUCAGUAUUUCCAAUCCUUGUGAUAAGGUGGUUAACUGAAGGGUAGAUAUUAAAGUUCUCUUGAUUAAUAUUGAUUAAGUGCAUAAGCAUAUUAUUCUUUCAUCAAAUCCAAUAAAAAAAAUUCCUUAAUCACGCGUUAUAGUGACAUUAGGGUACCCCAAAAAAAAAAAAAAUGAAUCGAAUAUUGAAGCUGUUGAUUUGCAGCAUGGACUCGUUGAGGUUAGGUCGGAGGUUUGCUCAAGGGAGGUAAUAUCUUAGGUAGUGGCUGGAGGACCGGGCGCGUCAUCUAGAUGCAGGAGUUGAGGAGAAACUUUAAAUCAGUGAUGGAAAUUUGAUGCCAAAUAAUGGCCUUAAUUAGUUCUCUUCAUGGUGCUCAGUAUAUUUUUCGUCUAUAACGAACAUAUUCAGAUGCAUGAAUUUAAUUAUGAUGCGACUUUGGGCAGUCUUUCAUGGAUUGCCUGCUAUCAUAAGUAGCAAUUAGUUAUUGAACAGGAAUUGGACUUUUAACUUCUACUAGAGAAAUGCUUUUAAGACGUUAUUGUUUUCAGGUUCAGAUAUCUAUUGUAGAGAAGAUUACUUGACGAUCUAGUAAUUAACUGGAAGAUCUUAAGAAAAAAAAAAAAGAUCAGCUAGCUACUAUAAAUGGUGAAAUUUAAAAAGCGCGGAGAAAAAAGAAAAAUUUAAAUUCAAUAUCUCUAAAUCCUGAAAUCUCAACUUUAUUCAGCAUUGAAAAAUAAUUGUUCGAGAAAUUAUUACGUGUAAAACAUACAUUCAACAGUCAGAAACUCGAUCGUGUGUGUUGACUGGUCAAAAAUAUCUUUAGGGCAGGUCAGAAGAACAUGCUGUUGACUCUUGGCUCUUCUAUCUUGAUUGGGCCAAGGUGGGAAUCCGAUAUUAUUCCACUCUCUGUUCUUUUCUUUUGGCAGAGAAUCGUAUGCAUGAUAACAAAGCGGGUAUGCAGGCUUUGGGUCUGGGGAGGAAAGAAAAGAUGAAAAAUAAAAGAAGAAUGCGUCACGCUCUGACUUGGUUCCCAAAGGCAUCCAUUAUUCAGCUGGAACUCUGCUCUGGUCAAAUUUGCGCUGUGUAGACUACGCAGUAUUGUUCCAACCAUUCCAAGUCGUAAUAAAGCAACUUGUUGGACAACAAUUUCUAUUUUGUGGACGUAAUUCAUCAUGUAAUCAUUAGCAACCCUUCCAGAUUAUGGAGAGCUAAACAAAGUUGUGGUUUCAAUUACCUUCUUAUCUUUCUAACUAUUAUUUUUUAUUUCACAUACCUUACAUGCUAAUAUAACAGGUGCUACAAUAUUUUUUUUUAAAAAAAUAUUUCAAAUAAUCUCCGAUCCAAAAUUAUUAAUUUGGAUAGAAGAGGGAUUUAAAGGUAAGAAUGUGCGACACUUUAUUCUUUUUUAUUCUGGGGUUUAGGAGAGAAAUUGAGAAUUAUAUUUACUUUGCUUGGAAGUUAGUGUAUGAAAGAGAAAUGAAGCAUCCAAAUUAUUCUGACUUUCUCUACCUGUUAAGCAAGAGGUUUACUUUUUUUUUUUUUUUGGUCUACUUUUUUCAAGUUGAGAAACUUGUACAUGUCCAUAAUUACUCGAAAACUUGCAAGGAAACUAUCUUAAGGAAAAAGAGCCAAAAUAGGUAAGUUGCCAAAGCAAAUGGUGCAAAUAUUUGCUAAUUACCUUUCUAGCUCUCGUUGUAUCCACAAUUCACGAGUUCCAAUAAUAAUAAAAAAAAAUAAAACAACAAAAAUGAAUACAAAAUUGAAGUUUUCUAAGACAUUCAUUGAUACUCGAUAACACAUCUAAAUUUCAUCUAACAUAUCGCGCGUGUGCAUGUAUAUAUUGAUAAUUAUUGCCUUCCCUUCUCCUAUUUAUAUAUAUUUUUUAAUUAAUUUUAUUUUUUAAAAAAUUUAACACUUGAAUUAUAUUUUAAAAUGUGCCUAUUGGACACCCGUUAGAUAUAUCCUUAAAAAAUUGCAAAAAGCAAAAAGUUACAAAAGUGUUAAAGGCAUUAAAGAAAAAACUUUGUUGGCCACAGCCCGCAACAACACGAAUUCAUGAAUUCUCGUACUGACCCCCUUAUUCUUCUUUAACAGUAACCAAUAACCUUAGAACUCCGCCAGUUGGCCAAUUUGCAAAGCGCAGGAUGUGGUAGCGUUCUAUUAGGUCAUUAGACAAUUAGUCUCUGACCCCAUAACCGCGUAAACAAAUUCAACCUAAAUUCUACUACUACGCAAGAAACUUCCUUCAUUUCCCAUUUUCAUUUUCCUUUCGUUUCCUUUUUCCUAAAAAUAGUUCCAAUUUCCCCCACUAUAUAUAUGUAAACCUUUCUCCUCCCUUCCCCCUCAAACCAUCAAUCACUUCAAUUUUCUUUCCCCUUUUACCAGCACAUGUCUCAGAGACCCAACGUCCCACACUUCUCCUCCGUCGCCUGCGGCCUCCAUUCCCAUCUCCUGGUUUCCAGUGAGAUGUCCUCUAAUUCCAACUGGUCUUCUUCUGCUCGUACCUUGUAGCUAUUCCACCACCUAGUCUUUUUCCUUAAAUACCCCACAAAAUUAAAAAUUAAAAACCACACACACACUAAACCCAAACAAACAAGGAGAAGAAAGGAAUCAAGAAAAACGCUACUCAUUUUUUCUGAGUUCAACAAAAGAAGAAAAUAUGGGUUUGAAAGGCUUUCUUGAAGGAGGCAUAGCUUCAAUAGUGGCUGGAUGCUCCACCCACCCGCUGGACCUCAUCAAGGUCCGAAUGCAACUUCAGGGAGAAUCCCCCGUCCCCAAACCGGCUGCUCAAGCGCUCCGACCAGCUCUAGCCUUCCACCCUGCAGCUGGUCAGGUUUCUCAUCCUCACAUUCACGUCCCUUCUCCAUCUCUUCGUCCGCCGCCGCCCCGCGUGGGACCCAUUGCCGUGGGAGUCAAGAUUGUCCAGCAAGAAGGGGUCGCCGCGUUGUUUUCCGGCGUCUCCGCCACCGUCCUCCGCCAGACUCUUUACUCCACCACCCGCAUGGGACUUUAUGAUGUUCUGAAGCAAAAAUGGACCGACCCACAUACCAACAAGAUGCCUCUGGAUAGAAAAAUCGCUGCUGGGCUCAUCGCCGGCGCGGUUGGAGCGGCCGUCGGGAACCCCGCUGACGUGGCCAUGGUCCGCAUGCAAGCCGAUGGUCGGCUCCCGGUGGAUCUGCGGCGCAAUUACAAGAGCGUGGUUGACGCGAUUGGUCAAAUGGCUAAAACCGAGGGAGUUGGCAGCCUGUGGCGCGGUUCAUCCCUUACGGUGAACCGCGCUAUGGUGGUGACGGCAUCACAGCUGGCAUCAUAUGAUCAGAUCAAGGAAUCGAUAUUGGAAACGGGUCUGAUGAAGGAUGGGCUUGGGACCCACGUGACCGCCAGCUUCGCCGCGGGGUUCGUGGCGGCGGUGGCGUCGAAUCCGGUGGACGUGAUCAAGACUAGGGUGAUGAACAUGAAGGUCGAGCCGGGGAUGGCCCCACCUUACAGUGGAGCCGUGGAUUGUGCUAUGAAAACUAUCAAGGCUGAGGGCCCACUGGCCCUUUACAAGGGGUUUAUUCCCACAAUCUCAAGGCAGGGACCAUUCACAGUGGUGCUCUUUGUCACACUGGAACAAGUCCGGAAAUUGUUCAAGGAAUUUUGAUUUUUGAGGAUGAUGACGAAGAAAUUAGAAUAAAAAGAAAAUUAUGUUUCUUCUUUUAUGUUCCUGAGAUCUGGGAGUUUGAAUAGCAAGAAAUCUGUCAGAUACUGCAUGUCCUUUGAUUUAUAGUAAAUGGUUAAUUUUUUUUAAUUUGAAUUAUAAACUUGAAACCAACGCAAUUAAAGUAUUCUAUUUUUCAUUAUUUUCAAAGGUCGUGGGAGAAUACGUAAAUCAAUGCAAACUUAUUUGUCUCUUGGACGAACAAAUUAACUUUUACUUUUGGCCGAAUAUCGAACAAAGUCGAUGCAAUUUGACAAAAGGUGAAUUUGAGUGGCUGCAAUUAGUACUAAUUGUUUGUUCAUGUGAGCUAGGGGCUCUAGCUUCUACUUACCCUUUUUUUCCUUUUUUCUAAAUGAGCGGUAUUAGUCUCAUGUUCUUGUUUUUGUAGUCCCAUAAUUACAUAUAAUAUCAGCAAAAAGUUAUAUCCCAAGCUUGAUUUUGGUUUCUUUGUUAAGCAAAAUUCAGUUCCAAAUUAGCAAUAGUAUAUAGUUGUGUUUGGACAGACAUUUUUCGUCCAAAAAUUACUACAUUUUCCGUGAACACAUUUUCCUAUCAUCUUUUUACUUCACAUACAUCAAAUCAAAUCGCUACAGUAAUUUUUUUACAAAAAAUCCAGAAAAAUGCAAUCCAAACACAACCUAUUAUAUUGUUGAAUUCAGUUGGACUUUGUACUCAAGUGGAAUAUUCGAAGCUCAUAUGCGCUGCUAAAAAGUGCUGGUAUAUUCUUAUAAGAUAUGUAUAUAUUCUUUAGUUAUGGCUAAAAUUGAGACCUUCAGAAAUUAAAAGUCUUUUUUGUUUUUUGAAUCUCACCUCUUAUGUGCCAAAAAAAAAAAAAGUUCUUUAGCUAGAAGUGAUCGUUGUAAGAUAUGUAUUUUCUCAAGCUAAGAAGUUAUUUAAGGAUCAAUAAUAAUUAUUCUUUUAUGUUUUCAAACAAACUUUAUGAAAAACGAAUGUAUUUAAGUAUAGGUAAAUUCUUUCUCAAUAAGUGAAGAGGAAAAGAACAAAAAAAAAAAAAGGGUUGCAUGAUCUUCACAUGCAAUGAAGGUAUUAUCAAACAGAGACGUUAAAUGUAACUUUUACCUGAGUCUUUGGCGUUUACGUAGGACAACAUGAAAGGUUGUGGACAUGGAUUUUUAUUUAUUUUUUGCAAUUUCUUGUCAAGAUGAGAAUGUGAAUGGCCAAUAGGCCAAACGAUGAAUGUCGAAAUGCUGCCGACCUGUCAAGAUGAGAUAAUCAUAUGAACCAUGGAAUUAUUUCUUUUUGUUGUUUAUGAAAGUGGAGAUGUGGAACCUAGCACCUUCAACGGGCAGCAACUCUUGGAAUUGGCUGUAAUCGUGGCUACGACAAACCAUGUUGGAGGAUCAAUUGGUCCAGCACAAGAAGUAAUUCAAUUCUCACGUUGGGUGGUGUUAAAUUGAAGGUAUUAUUCUUUUCUUAUAUAUAAGAAUUUGGUAAAUAGUAGUUAUGUUAAGUUUUUCCUGGACUUGUCACUCACAAAAAGUAAUACGUACUAAUUUUGAGGGGAAGGAUGGGUCGUAGAAGACGGUGUAAGCGAGAGGAAUCGGAUUUCGAGACUUCCUACUUAAACUUUGAAAAAAAAAAAAAAAAAGUAACACCAAAUAUAUAUCUCAACCAUUCCAUUAAGUGAUAGUGUAUUAACAAUACAUCAUCUAACAAUUGUAUCAGUCAUGCAAAAAUGCAGGCACAUUGGUUUUGCAAAAACCCAAAUGCUAUUCAUUAGACAAAUACGAGGGAUUAAUGUGAUAUCUGGUAAAAUGAGAAAUUAUUUAUUUAGCUUUAAUAGUUGAUUCAAGAGAAAGAAAAAACAUAUAUAGAUGGGAGUGCCACACAACUGUAGGCACAUCGGUGGGAGGAUUCUUUUAUGUUAGUUCUAAUUUCUGGAAAAAAUUUUGUGGAAGAGAGAUGUCUUUAUUCAUGAGAACAGAAAUGGUAUGUGGCAGGAGACAGGAUGCUAGGAGUUUAAUCUUAGAACAGAAUGGAAAAGGAAAACUUGCAUACCAGUUACGUAACGACAGAACAACUAUAUACGGGAUGUAUACGCUUAUUUUGGCCGCAAAGGAAAAGCAAGGACCUGAAUCAUGCAUGCCAUUCAGAAAUUUCCAGGUGAAAUAGACCGGUGGCCAACUUUCCUUCGUUCCCUGUAUUGAAGAACUUCCGUCAGGCUGAAAAUGACUGGCAAGAUAGUAUCAAGUGGAGAAACUCGCUUGAUUUCCAACGUCAAGUGGUUAAAAAUUGGGUUAAUUACAUUGAGGUUGAGUGGCUGCUAUUGGACAUAGUUGUUAAUUGCAAACGAGUAGAAAGUCAUGUAGGCCUACUCCUGUUUAAAUCUUGAUUAGUUAAUCUAAUUAUUUUUGUCUAUGAUCCGAUAUCCUUGGGUCGGUCUUGUAGCAUGUUGUCAACUAUUUCUGAUUUUUGGGUUUGAUUUUCAAUUUUUGAAAAAACCAAUUUUUUUUUUUUUUUUUUUUUACUUACAAAGAAACCCAUAAAGCAUGUAUCUUCUAACUUGUCAUAUUGACUUCUUUUUUUUUUUUUUUUCUCUUUUAAAGCAUCUUGACUUCAAAAAAUCAGUUAAGAACAAGCCACCAAUUAAAAGAAAAAACUCUCUCUCUCUCAUGUGCUUGACUAAAGAUUCCUUGAUUAUGUGCAUUUAGUAUCUCCAAACUGAAACCAUCCAAAUUACGUUGCAGAUAUUAAAAUAAAAUUAACCCUUUUAUCAAAAAAAAAAAAAAAGAAAAUUAUCAUCUCAUUGCUUAUAAAAUGAGUUGGACGAUUUUGCCUCUUCAAAAUUCAAUAGCUAUGGACAAUGAAGUGCCACCAUGACCCAAAUUAUAUUGUGUCUCAAAAAUCAAGCUAAUCACAAAGAAAAUAGAGUGCUCAGCUCAUUAUAUUAGAUUUAAUAGUAGGGUUAAUGCUGAUUAGUGUUCGUAGUUUGGUGGCCAAAGCGUGUUUGCACGUUGAGGGUUUCUUUUUGUCGUAAAUCGCUAGAAGCUGUUGCCUGUGGAUCCUAUUUUUGCCAGGCUCCAGCCCUCGGGAAUCAAACCUUCAUUCCAAUGAAAUUCCGAGGGGUGCCAUAGGAAAUUUCUGAGAUAAUUUUUGGUUAUUUGGGAUAAUUUUUUUGAAUGAUGUGAUAUAUGUGAGAUAAAAAGGUAAUUGAAAAUGUGUUAAUGAUACAAGCAAAUAAAUCUUGACAAAUAAUUGGCUAUCCAAACAUGUUAGGAGAGGGCUGGCCAAAGGUGUUCAAUUAAUUACAUUUUGUAUUAAGGUUUAAGAUAACUUUGUAAUUGGGUACUAUAAGAGCGAAUGAGUAAACAUUCUGUGCAACAAUACAUACAAACUAUUUGUGAAAGUGAAAAUUUUCAAAUGUAUGUGUUAUACCAAAUUAACAUAUGAAUGCACAUGCUGAUAUGCAUUGUGUUGCCUUAUAUUUAAAUAAUUUUCCUAUUUAACUUUAGUUGUUUACAAAACCGAUAUUGAUCUCUCUUAAUUAGUACCCGUUAGACACUUGUCAAACAGACCAUUUAUAUAUUAAAAAAAUUUUUGAGCUUCACAUUUAAUAUAUAGUUUACUAUUUUUGGAAAAAAAUUUUUAUAGUUACUUUCUUUGUCUUAACGACACAUCGAAUCUAACCUAAUCUACUCCUACAGUCCUAUUCCUACUUGGGGGGAGCCUAUUCUAGGAGGUGGUUCAACUGAGUCGAGGGAACCUAAUGAAAACUGAACCACCAUCAGACCAAAUUACACCACGCAUCCGUAUGAAUUUAGAACAAUACUCAUAUAGAGGUGCAUUGAUGGGAGGUAAGGUUCUCCCACCUCACAAUUAAUGUGGUGACUAACUCUUUUAGAGGGGGUUGGUUUUUUAUAAUUGUUCUUUAAUAGGAAUUCUAUGCUGUUCAAAAGUAGUUUGGACAAGUAACAUGAAAUGAGCGUAGUGGCGGACGGAGCGCAGAGGAUUUAUUCUAGGGAAAUGGAACUUUUGUGCAUAAGACAGCCCCAUGAAUUCAUGGAGGAAAUGGCUCCCGGGAGGUGCCUUGAUUCCCAGAGCAAUCAUUCACCUAAGAAUACAUGUCAUGCACGAUAUUAGAUGCAUGUACCUGCCUGGAUCCUGAAAACAACAUCCAAAGAAUUCCUUUGUCUUGUCCCUUUUAUAAUUUCAACCAGUCAAAUGAUUGUCCCAUCAUCUUUUUCUGUCUGGAAAAAAAAUUGUAUGCUGUUAUUGGAUGUUUGGUUUGUACCCAGAAACUAGAAUGAAUACCAAAUUCCACUUAGAAAGGCUGUCAACUAGCUAGGAGCCACCAAGCCACUAGCAGUCUAAUGCCUAAAAUAGGCUACUAUUCAACUGCAACAUUUUAGUUUAACACCAAUGCUUCAACUCAAAAGGGAAUUUUAUAUACGAAAUGAGGAAAUAAAACCAAGGAGAUUUUGAGCAAAAUAAAAAAUUUCAAUUAAUGUAAUACAAUCUUGUGGUUACACUUGACAAAAUUGUAAACCAUGAAAGCACUUCAUGGAGAUCAUCAAAGGUCAAGAGGUGGCCUAAAAGCAGGGGCGGAGGGAAGGGGGGCGGUCCAAUUGUUAAAAAAAAAUUUAUAAGUAAAAAUUUGUUUAUUAUAUUGUUUUGCCCCCCCAAAUAUUGAUAAAAAAUUUCACUUUGCCCCCCCUCCAAUUGUUAUAAAAAAAUUUCUAAGUAAAAAAAAUUUUUCUUAUAUUGUUUUGCCCCCCCAAAAUAUUGAUAAAAAUUUUCACUUUGCCCCCUCCUAAGGACCCAAAUAAUAAUGUUUGAAAGUUAUUUGGACUUUGUCCAAAUAACAGAGACUCGCCCCCCUAAUUGCAAUUCCUAGCUCCGCCACUGCCUAAAAGCAACAGUGAAGUUGCUAUAACAGGCAUUGAUUCUUUUAAACAAAACAUCAUGGUUACUGAUUGUUAAGAGACACAAAACAAAAAAGUGCUAUAAUGCUUUUUUCACAAAAUUAUCUCAAAUAAUUUACAAUCCAAACACUGUAGUUUCAUUAGAGAAAAUAUUUGCUCCAGGUUGAUAAACACCAUUUACUGCAUUCCUUUCUUAGUUGGAAAACAUUAGCGUCUCCAUUUAAUGGAGUAAUUUCAUAAACCUCCCUUGAGAUUUUUGAUAAUUUCACUUAGCACCCUUAAACUUUUAAAAAUAUCAUUUACUUCUCUUAUUUUCAAAUUUUUGUAGCAUUCUCAAACCAAUUCAAAUUAUAUGUUUACAAUACUCAUUUUAGGAAAGAGAAAAUAAUUUGUUUCCAAUAAUGCCCUUUCAUUUUUUAAUUUUUUAAUUGUAAGAAUAAUAAUCAUAUGUUAAAAAUAAGGACAAAAAAUGAAAAUGUUCUUUUUUUAAAGGAACAACAUAUAAUAAUUGCAACCAUAAACAAUAAACUUUUUUAAAAUACAAACAAAUAAUAAAAUUUUGUUUAACAUGUUUUCAAAUUAUAAAGUAAUUUUUUCCCUUUAAUGUUUGUCUAUUUGGUACUCUAAAGUCACAUGGUAAGAAAUAUGAUCCGUUUGGAUGAGCUAUUUCUAGAGAUGUUUUUGAAAUAUUUUACUGUAACAAUGGACCUGUUUGGAAUCGAAUUUUUUGGCCAAGUUUUUUAGUUACUAGUUUUUUAACAACUUUACCUACAGGAAUCCAAAAAAACUUAUUAAAAUUUUUAACCUACAUAUUUCAAAAUAUCUAAUACACAAAAAACUUCAUUUUUUCUUCUUCAUUCUCCCCCGUCCCGAUCAACCACACCUUCAUCGCUGGCCACCACCUCCACCGCUACUUUCGGCGUCGGCCACCUACUCCGACGCCGGCCUUCCCCUUUUUUUUUUUCCUUCCUUUCUCCCUCUCCAUCUCCCUCUCCCCCUCUCCUUCCCUCCCCUCUCUCCUUCCCCUCCCUGGCUACCCUCCCCCUUUCCUAGCUGCUAUCUGGUCAUGCGACCGGAUUGGGCAAAAGGGGAGGGGGAAGGAAAGGAGAGUAGAAAAGGGGAGGAGAUGAGGAGAGGAAGAUGGAGAAGAGGGGAAAAGAAAAGGCAAAAAAAAAAAAAAAAAAAGUGCACGCCAUGGCUACUGGUUCUCUAGCUUCUGGAGGGAGAGGGGGAGGGUGAAGGGGAGUAGAGGGGGAGAGGGGAGCAGAAGGAGAAAAGGGGAAGAGAAAAAGAAAAAAAAAAUUGGGACCAUGGUUGCUGGUUCAUCUAGUACCGCGAGGGAAGAGGGAGAGGGAAGGAAGAAGAAGAAGAAGAAAGGAAAGAACGAGAAAAAGGAAAGAAAAAAAGAGAAAAAGAAUGAAAAGAAAAAAAAAAUGGUAGGACCAUGGCUGCUGGGAAGGUAGAGGUAACGGCGGAGGGAAGGGGGAGGGGGAAGGAAGAAGAAGAAGAGAGGAAAGAAAAGAAAAAGGAAGGAAAGAAAAAGAAAGAGAAAAAGAAAAAGAAAAGGAAAAAAAAGUUUUUCAUCUUAAAAAAUUUUUCCAAAAAUUUCUACAGUGCACUACAGUAAAGUUUAGAAGUUUUAGACAAAUUUUCAAGAACGUCAAGUUCCAAACGGGGCCAAUGUAGUUGAAAAAUAUUUAUUAUAGAUGUUUUUAAUAGUGUUUUUGAAAAUAUAUUUUGAAAUAUUUUUAAAAUUUAAAAUUUUAAUGGAAUAUUUAUAAAAUUUUAUAAUCACCCAUCACUAUCCCACCACCCCUUCUCUUCUCCCUUAUCCUCCUUCUACUUCUUCGUCCUCCCUCCUUCCCCCUCUUCCCCUCCCCUUUUUCAUGUCUUUCUUUCUUCCUCUUUUUUCUCCUCUCUUCUCCUUCCUCUUUCUCCUCUAUCCCUCCCCUCCUCCCUACCCUCUCUCACCACCCCUCUCUCUAGUCGUGAGUUGCAACUAGAAAAUGGACGCUGCUUGCGACCAAAUUCGGUUGCAAUUGGAAGGGGGAAGGGGGCAAUGAGAGAGUCAUGAGGAGGAAGGAGGAGGGAAGAGGAGGAAGAGGGCAGGGGAGGGAAGAGGAAGAAAGGGGAAGGGAAGAGGGAGGAUGAGAAAAAAGGGGAGAGACGAGAGAAGGAGAAGGAACAGCGGGUGGUAGUGUGUUUUUAUUGGUUGUUGUUGUUGUUGAUGGUGGUGGUAUAUAUAUAUUUUUUUGAUAUUUGAAGUUGUUUUUAAUACAUUGUAUGAAUGUGAUAUUUUUGAGGUUAUUUUUAUUUGUGUAUUAUUAUAACAUAGUAUAUGAAAAACUUUUUUUUUUUGAAAAAAUGAGGAAUCCAAAUGGAGUUAUUGUUAUUGUUUUUUUUUGACAAAAAUGUAGAUUUCUUCUACAAAAGUGUUGUAAUUUAGGAGACUAUUUAUAAUUUAAAAACUUCAGUGUUUGUCCAACCUUAUUUAUCCAUAUGUUUAUCACAUGCUCUUAGGUUAUCGAAUGAGAAAAAUCUUUCUUUUUAUGUAAAAUGGUUUGAUUGAAUCUAAUAAAUUUUAUGAACUAUUUAGAAUCUUUAAUUUUUAUUUAUUUGAAUCAAUGGCUUGAAAAUUUAGAAAAGGGAAAAAUUUUUAAAUUACAUUGAGAAUUUAUUUGAGUUGUUUAGAAGACAAAAAAAAAGUUAUUUUUCACAUCUUUACAAUAUUGCAAAUAAUUUUCACAUACUUUGUUAAUUAUUUAUGAUUUUUCAAUUUAAAAUUUUGCCUCCAAAUUGUAGAUAAGAUUUGUUAAAGAUUUCUCAACUCUAAACUUGUAAUUUUUUUUUUAACUAAAAAACACAUCCAUCAAGUUUUUAAAUAUAAAAGGAUUUUAAAUUGAUUUGUCAUUACAGCUAAGGGAUCACAAUAAAAGAGCAACUUUAGAAUAAAAUAACUUUCUCUUUCCUAAACAUAGUAUUUUAAUGAUAUAAUUAGAAUUGGGUUGGGAAUGUGAUAAAAAUUUGAAAAUAAGGGGGAAAAGUGAUAUUUUUAAAACUUUAAGAGUACUCAGUGAAACUAUAAAAAACUUCAAGGGAAAUUUCUGAAAUUAUCCCCCAUCUGAUCCUCCUGUUUGUGGCUCAUAUUUACUUGAAGAAAUUAGAGGUGUCAAAAUGGUUGAUUUGGACGGGUUUGGAUGAGUUGAAAUAGAUAAUGGGUAUAAAUAAGUUAAUUCAUUUAUACCCAUUUAAUUAGAUAGGUAUAAAUGGGUAAUUCAAAAAAUGAAUUGGGUAAUUCAAUUACCAUUUAUAUCCCAUUUAUUUUAACUUUUUAUAAACUCAUUUAAAUUUAUUUUUGCAAACUAAAUUAUCAAUUGAUACCACUCUUUGCAUCCAUCAUUAUCAAUAAGCCUAAUUACUAAAAGAAUAUAAAAAUUUGAACUAAUUACCAUGAAAGUUAAUAUAAAAACUUAAUCUAAAAACUUUGAACCGCUUACAAUUUUUUUGUAUGUAAAUUUAAAAUUUCAUUUUGGAAAGGUAGGAGAGGAGACUAAAACUUAUCAUAAAUUGGUAAUGCUAAAAAAUGAACAAAUUAAUAAACUAUGAAAAGAUAAAAUGAUAAGAUAAAACCAACAAAUCUUAUACAUAUAUAAAAUGGGAAUCGCUUGUGAACAGUGCCUAUGGUCCGGUUAUGCUGUGAUUUUUGUGAGCCUGAGGGGUGUUAUGGACCUUAUGGUCUUUUGGAGUCGAGUGGGAGUGGUUUUGCUGGAAAUUCACCGUCCCCACGUGUUGUUCUCGGACGGCAACAAGUUUAGCGGUGAGUUGAGCUGGAUGCAUCAAGCGCUGCUUCAAAGUAUUGCAAUCUUCAUUACUUUUUCUUAUUGUUUUCUUAGCCGGGAAUCGCUUGUGAACAGUGCCUAUGGUCCGGUUAUGCUGUGAUUUUUGUGAGCCUGAGGGGUGUUAUGGACCUUAUGGUCUUUUGGAGUCGAGUGGGAGUGGUUUUGCUGGAAAUUCACCGUCCCCACGUGUUGUUCUCGGACGGCAACAAGUUUAGCUGCUUCAAAGUAUUGCAAUCUUCAUUACUUUUUCUUAUUGUUUUCUUAGCCGGGAAUCGCUUGUGAACAGUGCCUAUGGUCCGGUUAUGCUGUGAUUUUUGUGAGCCUGAGGGGUGUUAUGGACCUUAUGGUCUUUUGGAGUCGAGUGGGAGUGGUUUUGCUGGAAAUUCACCGUCCCCACGUGUUGUUCUCGGACGGCAACAAGUUUAGCGGUGAGUUGAGCUGGAUGCAUCAAGCGCUGCUUCAAAGUAUUGCAAUCUUCAUUACUUUUUCUUAUUGUUUUCUUAGCCUUGUCUCCGUUACUUUCUCUUAUUCUUUUCUUGACUUUCUCUACCCAGCGUUUUUUCCGUUCCUCAUUCUCCAAUCUUUUUUCUCUAUUCUUUUCUUAGCUUCUCUGCCCAGUGUUUUGCCCUUUCCUCGUUUUCCUAUUGAGUUCUCUACUAGACUGCAAAUAAUUGAGCAAGUGAAUUGCGCAUCAGAGCACGGGUGCUUUGCAGAUGUUUAAUGUUAGUUAUGCUCUAUUUUAUUGGUUUGCAUAGCCAUUCAUGCAGAGCAACAAAUCAAAGUAAGGCUCAUGUAUCCGCGCUCUUGAUGUCUGACCCAGAAGUUUGGCCAUGAAUAUAUAUGUUUGCAUGUAUGGAUGAAUGACGACAAUUAUUCCUGAUAGUUAGUCUUGCUGUAAUUGCUCCUUCUGUUGCUGCCAUUUCUUUGCUUUAAUGCAGCUGCUGCUUGGGUUUGGUAUAGCAAUGGUGGUCAAAAAAUGCAUCAAAUAUUUGCUAAGGCUGAAAAAUAAAACAUUCCAAUACAUACAAGGUUUCAGCAAUAUUAAUGCAUGAAAGUCCCCAACAAUAAGUUCAAUAAUCAAAAGCAAGCUCAAAUUUCUUCUAAAUGGAUGGAAGGCUUGAAAAAGAUAAUUCUAAAUGAAUUAAUUAGAUUUGAUAAUAAAUGGAUAUUAUUACCAUUUAUAUCCAUAUGUCAAAAUUUAAAGAUACCCAUAUACAACUAUUCAUAGGUGGGUGUGGGUAAAUUUAGCUAAAUGCGCUGCAACGAAGCAGCCAUUCCUCAAUUCUUCUAUCGUUAUCGGUGUAUGAGAAAUCGAAGGGGCAUCAUUUGGAGUUUUCCUUCUAUGUCUGUGUAUUUCUUUACAAUUCUAGUAGAAGCAUCCUAGGAUAGCAUCGACCGCACUUCCAUAAUCGAUCCGGGAGGUUCCGCGUCUUUUUGUUGUAGUGCAUUCCCGAGCAAUUGUUGCAUCCGUGAGGCAAAAAUAUCAUCUAAAACCUGCAAAUCCGAAUCUUUGUUGUCAUGGUAGUAUUUAUCAUAUUACUGGAUCUUAUUAGACUCUCAUCUUUACUUCCAUAAAUCAAGGUCAAAUCAGUCGGAAACCAUUCAAUUACUGGAAUAAAAAUUGUGAAAUUCCUCCUCAAAACAACAAAGAAAAUCAUCACAACCACUCUAAUGUGAAACACUGACGAUUUGGCCAGCAAAAGUAUAACUCGAGCCAAGUUACCAAGUCAGCCUGCAUUUUUCACUACCUUGCAAACAUCUAUAACUAUUUCAAGGAUGAAAGACUUGCAUCACAUAGAAGAUUCAAAGGAUGAUCAGAUUAUCCCUCUUUCCUUCUUAACACUCAACUUCGUAUAGGGUGAAUUUCAGUUAAAAACGUCAGGCUUUUAAUCUUUUAAACAUUUGCAAAUAAUGGCUACUGCAUAAAGUGACUAUCUGAAUCCUGGAAGAAUUAGCUCAACUUACAGAUACUGCAACCCGUGAAGCUUUGUACCAUGACCGAUUUUCCUUCCUCUCUGCCAGAAAUCUAAGCACAUCCUGUCACAAAACAUCAAACAACAAGGAAAAAAAAGAAGAAGAAAAUAAAAGAUGCGUAAUGAAAAAAUAAUUAUGAAGCAUUUUGCUGAACAUUCUACCAAGAAACUUACCUGUGCCAUCCUAUCCCAAAUACCUCUUGAUACGAUUAUGAACACCUGAGGGUCCAAUAAAUUGUAAAGUUGAUCAAUCAUUUUUUCAAGCAAAUCCUUCAAGGGCUGCAUCCUACUUCGAACAUCAGAUUCUACAACAUUUUCCUUUGCAUCCUGAAUUAUUUUCUUCAACUUUGUAGACGGUUGCAAUCUUGUCUGAAUCCAGAAAAGCAGUAUAAAAAACGAAAUCAAUACUUGAUAGUGCAUAUCCAAAUGUCAUUAAGAACACCACAAAGUAUAGUUGUAAUGGUGAUCAUAAUGACUUUUUCUGCAACUUGUAACCUUGCAUUAAUAAAUGACCAAGAGAUGAAAAAAAAAAGCAUGCUUUCCAUCCAAAUGCAUCUUGCUGGAUAAUCAGCACAACACAAUGCAGGAAGAAUUUUUUUUUUUUUUUUUUUUAAAGGACCAAAUUCAUAACCUAAAUGUUAGUACACCUACAUUUUCCACAAGCUUUUCUGUAACUCCUUGCAAAUAAGUUCUCAAUUUGGCUCUGAGCAUAACCGUUACUUCACUCAGAUGCUCGCCUGGGAUGGUACUCCCACCAUCAGGGAUGCAAGAACCCCAUACCUUUAUCUGUGCUUCUAUUGGGGGCCGCAAAACAUCAAGAAUCCUUUUCAAGGAAUUAAGAAAAAUUCCCAACUGAAAAAUUAGAGCAAAAAUAUUAAUUUAUGGUCAAAAGAAGGGAGAUACCAAGUUCACAAAAAUCCAAAGAUAGCAAACAAUCUGACCUCUCUGCAAACGGAAUAGGCAGAUACAGUGCCCUUAGCAAAUUUCUGAACAUACUUGAGGCCUAAUUUAAUUGGAAUUGAGUUCUCCUUCAGUGCAUAUAAAACAUCUGCAUAAUGUUUUUCCAUAGUCUCUAUAACUGUCUUUUCCACAUCUGUUAUGGCCUGUAUCCAAACAAGAAUUAGAUGUCAAGCAUUGUGUGUAUUACUCCAUAAAGUUAGAAAAUACACUAGCUACCAUGAUCCGUUGGGUCCUACUGUGUCAUCAAGAAGUACCAUUAUCAUACAAACUAAUCAUUAAAUGUCUAUCCAUUGAUGCAGUAAUACCAAAUGAAGACCUUCUAAUCGAAUCAUAGCAGAAGAUUGGGAUUCUAUACCCCACUUAGCUAAAACCUUUCCCAAAUGCAUACAAGGAAAAUUUCAAACUGGAAAGUAACAUAUAGAAUACUAGCCGGUUUCUGCCAACCCCAAUAAGAGUUAAAAUGAUGAAGGCAAUAGAAAUUAAAAAAUUCAGACUUUACUUACACUUUCCAACUGGAUGGUAUACUCUGGCCAAUGACUUAUAAUAACAUCAUAUUCCUUUAGUGUCUCCUUCAGUUGAUCAUAAAUAUCAUCCACGAAAGGGGUUGUGAGAUCCAGUGCUUGGAAGCUGGACCAUUUUACCUGGAGGCAUGUAAAUUCUACUAAUCAGCAAUAGGGAAAUUACAAACACACCAGCAAAUGCUGACAAAUUCAUCCAAAGCAUCAGUAUUUGGCCAAACAUAAAAUGAAGCAAGAAGAACAGAUAUGUCAAAUCAUAUUAAUUAUGUAUAUAUGUACUACAAACAAACAGUAAAACCUACACAGAUGAGUAACCUGAUGUUUUUUGAAAUAAGAGUUUCUUGUUCCCUAUUUUAAUUCCAUAGGAACAAUUUUACCUUUCUAUAUCAAUAUAAGAUGCCUUAAGAGCCAGUUAUUUUAUCAGCCUCCAGUGCAACCCACUCUUAUCAAGUAAUGCCUAAGAUGCAAGUGCCACAUUAUAAAAGGUUCAAUGGUCCAUAGAUAUAUUAUUGAAACAAAGAAAAAACUUAAGGUAAAGUAUCUCUUUCUAUUGCUUUGCUCAGUGUUUAAGCUGCGGAUGAGCAGACAAAUAAGGUGAAAUCUUGUUGAACCUAAAGCUUGUAUUUAGAAAAGUAAGGAUCAGGCUUCUCAUCUACAAAGGUAAGGGUAGUAAAACUGGGACAGAUCAGAUAUUAGUCUAUAGCAGAAAAGCUACGACCUACGUUGUAUUUUGAAGUCAAAUAAACUUUCUUCCCAUUGGAAUGAUCUCCUCAAGAAAUCAACUGAGGCAACUACCAAAUAAGUUUUCAUGUGCACAUAACCAGUUCAGCCUAAUAGCUCAGAAGAAUUCAGACCAGGUAAUUUUAUGUGCAUAUCCAACACAAGAUGGUGCUGACUUCCACUGAACAAUGCUUGAUGGAAAUUGAAGAAAUAUAACAUAGACCAUGAACUUGACCCAGUGAGUCCAUGUAGACAAAAGAGUACCUUAUCAGGUUUGCAUAGUUCCAGCAAGGUAAGACGCUUUUCCUGGAUCCAGAAGGUUAUAUAUGAGUGGAACAAUUGUUUUGCAUCAACUCCACCUUUAACAGCUCUGCAAAAGGUCAUGAUAUGAUUAAGGCAUGCUAGAAAAGACUAAAGUGUAAACUAAGCACAUAUCAGACUUACUUAAUAUUCCAGGAGGCAAGAUCCCUUUGAAAAUCAGCUGUUGCAACAACGAGUUCUGUCACAGGUGGCAAUGGACUAGGAGGAGGACAAGCAACAAGAAAUGUCUGCAAUCUACUGUUGAGUUCGGUGCUAUAUAUGGAUGAGGAUAGAUUUGGAAGGUCUAUGAAACUAUGCAAAGACAGAUAAGAGAAAAACCAGAGUUAGAGACUUCUAUGAACAAAAAUCCUAUCCUUGGAAGAGAUCAUGCUCGAAUAAAUAACAGAGAAGCCAUUGCAUGAAAUGAAUGCAAAUAAGACUUGCAUAAACCAGAUUAUAGGAACUACAAACAUCUCUAAUUAUCUAAUAUGGCACAAUCAAGCUAUCUACACUUCAGCAAAAAUGGGUCUUUUUUUUUUCAUUUUCUUCCUUUCCUUUUUACCUGGGGAGUACAUGCUGAUCGUGAAUUUCUAUGUCUGUGAAGAUUUCUCGUCUGAUGUUCAAACAAAGAGAUUUUAUUUUCUGAUAUGCUGCAGAAAUAGUUACUGGGUCCAUUAGUACGUUCCCAUUAUUGUUAGAAACAAUCUCAUCUGUUUCUGACAGAUGCCUCUUGGAUCUCUUCUUCACUGCAGUCUACCAAAAAGAAAUGGUUAAUGAAAUGGAGUGCAGCAGGGAAAGAAAGUAUGUAUGCAUUCAAUACCUGAAAAUAUCUGCAAAGCUUCAACUGUGCCUCAGAAGAGAGAAUAUCAUGCAAAAGUUUGUACAGCUUUAGGGCUGGUAUCAGAGCAGAAGCAGCAAAUCCAGUAGCUGGUGUAAACACAUCAGCGACCCCUGAUGGAGAUGACUCAUCAAGUGACUUGUAAUUCUCAAAAACCACCGCAAUGGUCUGCUCAAUUUGAUCAGAAACAUCUCCCAGCAUACGAUUCUGGUGGGGAACGCAUAAGAAAGAACAGUAUGUUAGUUGAAAAUUUGGUAUAAAAACUUCAAAGAAUCAUAACAGAAGAAAGCACUAAAUGCAUAUGAAGCUAAUGGAAGAUGCUAGAUGAAAAGGCGCAAGAUGUGUACAACACGACCUCAGCAUAACUGAAAAAGUCAAAAAAAGUCCAUGAAACAUGGUAUCAUUGAAUAUAACUGCUGAAGGACAAGUGCAGAUAAAUCAAAUAAGAUUCUCCAUGUUAAAGGUGGGAUACUUUUACUGUCUCAUUUUUAUGCAUAAGAUACUGUGCAAAAUUGAGCAGGACAAUAAAUGUUCACGUUUUUUAAAGUUAAAUCCCUCCUACCUCUUGGUGACUCAAUGCCUCUUUACUUUUGCCUUUCAUCACAACAGGAAAGAGCAGAUCAUGCACCAAAUCUAGACAAUCUGCAGUUGGUGUAGCAACAUCCAUAACAUAGGAAAGAUAUCUGCAAAGUAAUCAAACAUUAUAGACCUACACAGUAAUUUCACACCACACCUUGAAACAAUUUAUCUGUAAAUAGGCAUUUAAACGAAUUUGAAUACCUCAGCUUAGUGUAUGCAUCUGAAACUCCAUAGUAUGAAGCAAAUUGAGUCACUAGCCACUUCCAUGAACCAUGCAGCAAAAGCUUUCUCUGUUGAAACUGUUGAGCUUUCAUUGCGGUCUCCAAAACGAAGUCAUAUGCAACAGUCUCAGCAACAGAACCAUACUGAAAUAAAGAACAAAAUAAGGAUACACCUUACCAUGAAACUACCUCAUUUUAACAUUUAAAUGGAUAAAUGUUACAUAGAAAUGAAAAGUAGAACUAAAGUCAUUCAAUAAACCAAUGAAGUCUGAAUUCACAAUGCAUAGCAGAGUUCAUAUGAUAGUCAAAAUAAUAUAAAAUCCCUUUUUUUCCUUUGUUCACCAUUAUUGUAUUGCACAUCUACUGAACCACAAAGAAAAUUCCUUAAGCUUACAUGAUAGCUGAAAAUACCAUCAGAUGAUCUUUAGAAAGAAAGCGAGACAUUAAAUAUGUAGCUAAAACUACUGAUCCCUUUUCUGAUUCUACAUCAAAGAACAAUUAAUGUGGGGAAAAAAUGAAGAAAAUGGAGAAGAAAGAACCGAUAACAAUUCAAAUCAUAAAACAUUAAAAGAUUCAAAUAGGAUCACUUAAACAUCUAUUGAAAGCUAGUGAACAGCAAAAAAAACCAGUUAUGGCAAACUGGCUGCUCUCACAUUUGAACAUAGAACCUUAAGAUUGUAAUUUCUAACACUAUGACAAUGCACGCCUGCAACUUAGAGUUAAGUUGUGGACAUGAAAAAUUAAAAGACAUGUCACAACUAAACAACAGAGUUCAACCAUUUCAGUCAAAAUUAAAAUAAAAAAAAUCAUUUGCCGGACUAAGACUGCACCAGAAUGUUGGUGUAUCAACAGUGAGAUAACAAAAAUUUAGAAAAGAUCUAUUGCAAGGAUCUUACUGACCUUAAGAUGACUAUUCUCUUCUUGACUUGAAUAAUUGAUAUACAAUUGUAUUCUCCCCACAAGUUCAUGCUCUGGCUCUUGAUAUAUAGACCACCAGCGAAGCUUGUCAGCCUGCAUCCAACCAAUACUUCAUGUAUCUAGCAAAGAAAUCUGUAUCUAGAAUUUGAGAAACAAAUAGUAAUCUGAAUAUCCUACCGGAUUAUCAGCAAUUUCAGCCACCUGAGCCAUUGCCCUCCCACAAUACUUCCCCUUUGAAUCAUGGACUUCAAUAAUUAGAUCAUCUCCUAACCCAUCCGGCAAGCUAUACUCCAGAAGCAAAAGAAUCAGUUUAUUCUUCUAUUCGAUAGGAGACUGAGAAAAGAAGAACACAAAAACUUACAACACAUGAGUCUCUCCAGAUGCAGGCUGCAUUUUAACUGUGUCCUCUUCAGAUGAAUUUUUCAAUCUCAAUGAACAAGAAUAUGUUUCUGUAGAUGGAUAAUGAAUCAUUUCAGUAAUAUGUCUGAACAGAAUGUUUCAAUGUAUCUACUGCGGUCUGAGGAUGCAAUCACUGAAAAAAAGUUUACCUUAGCAAGCAAACUAAAAUAUGAUACACUUAUAAACACUGAAACUAAAAUAUCCAAAAGGGUAUUGUACCAUGUUUGCUAGAGUUCAACUUUUCUGGCUUAAUUUUCACUAUCUAAUGGAAAAACUAAAUGUAGUGAGAACAUAGCAACAUUAAGAUCUCUCAAAGAUUUUAGUGAUGGGUAAUGUGGUUGCUUUUCAGUUAUAAGUGGUUUUUCAAGUUUCGGAGCUCCACUUUUUAGCUAUCACUAAAAGUAUUUACAGCCGAGAAUUUCACAACCAUCAAAGUUGCUAUUUCAGUUUAGACCAAACAUCUUCAGAAGAACUUCCAAGAGAAUUUCCUACUAACUUAUUCCUUGAAUAGGAUCACAGUCUAAAACAGAACACACUGAGCUAUUAGCAUUUUAAGACCUUGAGGUGCUAGAAGCUUCCUAUGGGUGUCUUAGCUAUGCCUAGCCAAGCACCCAUGGUAAGUUGUAUCCUCUUGCACAAAGGUUACAAAACAACCUGAUUAAUAAUGUGGUUAGUGACAAAAGACAAAAUAAGUACAAGGACCAGAAAGAAGUUGCAGUGUGCUAAAAAUGAGUUUCAGGUACUGGAUUCAAUUUGGUAAAUGUGGUGUCAUGUUUCUUUUACGAUUCCUAGCAAAUAAUUAACAAUAAAAGGUUCAACAACCUUUAACAUUCUUAUAUGUGUCCAUUCAAGUAUCUUGAUGAACAGUACAAGUGACAUGUAGUAUGGAUGACACUAUAAUGAGGAACUGAUUUUGGUAAAUUAAGGGAAAGAAUAUGCAAAAUUAAGAAGGUAAAACAAAUGUACAACUUUUGAUUUUAACCUUUUUUUAAAACGCUGUGAGGGCAUACAUACCUUGCACCAUUUCAUAGGAUGUCGAAUGGUUGCGCAAAGCAGUAAUGCCAAUUUUUACCAAUUCAGGCAAUUCUUUUACAUACUGAGUUCCAGCAUUAACAUAAGCCAAGCUCUGGCGUGAAAGAGAUCCAUUUGAUGGCAUACGUGGGCUCACACGUACUUUUUUGUAAGUUUCCCACUCAGACGAGAGAGCUGAUUUUAUGCUGGACAACCGUACUCGAAAAGGCUCCAGCUUCUUUAGGGGUGGUUUCAAAGAUGAAAGGCUACAGCCUGUUGGUGGCUCCAGAACCAUUUUUACUUUACGAACUGUGAUUGGAAAAAUCUAGGUAGAUUUAAUAUUCAAACAUAUUUCCAAGAUAGAGAACCUACUGUGGACAAGGAUCAAGAAGAAUACCUUGCACUUUCAUCUUGCCAAUAAUUUUCUUAGGUUUUACACAAGCUCCCUCGCUGAUGAGUUCUGCUGACCUUUUCCUCAAGAGUUCUUCUUCCGAUUGUAACAGCACAUGCUUCAAUCUACAACAAAACAGUGGUCAUGUCAUACGUGGUUUUUUGCAUAAUAAACAAAAAUCAUUAGUCAACAGGUCACUGCAUUGGGCAUACUGACAACAAAAGGAAAGUAAUCACAUUAUUACACUAAUUUUGAUUGGAUUGUGUGUUAAUGCUUCUGCAAAACCACCAGGACACAAUUCAGUUCACUAAAACAGCCAUGAACUUCUCUUGCUUGCUGAUCUAAUUAAAAACUGGUUUCUGAUCAUUACCACACCACGGUAGUGGAGACUAAAUAUGUAGUUGCCCACAAAAUAUACACUCUUUUAGCAUCAAUUAAAUUACCCCUCAUACAUUUGUUUUUCGUGAACAACGAAUUAGAAAAAAAUUACACACGUCCACAUAAAGUCCUCAAUUUUGGAUGUAAAAUGUAUCAGAAUGCAUGGAACUAACACAACAGAGAUACAACUACAUGCAUAAAGGGAAAGGAGUUUUACAAUAUCUUACCCAAAAGCAUCUCUCAGAACUGCACACUCAUUCUCUAGGAAGAUGGGAGCUUCCAUGCAUUCGCUGGCCCAAGCGUGAAGGCAUAGCCGAAUACAUGCAUCAUAAGAAAUGAAAGCAUUCCAAGAGCCUAGACCACUGUAUUGUUUCAGAUAACAGACAGAAAAGGUUCAAUGGUGUUACAAUUUUUAUUGUCACCACAAGAGUUAUAAACAUAGAUGUAUCAGGGAAAAUAAAUGUAAAAACUUGCAGAUUUCAGCUACCUUGCAUGGAAAGUAGGGAUUUUUGCAGGUAAGGAAUGCAAAGACACACCAGCAGCCCUGUCAUCAAUUAGAUAUAUAACCAUCACACUUGAAAUUCUCCCAUGAAUUUACAUAGAGAUAAUUUAAAACACAUGCAGUUGCACAAACAGCUCACCAAAAACAAAACUUGCCAAAAUAAUAUACCUAAGAGAUGCAUCACAAGCUGUCUUGGCAGUAGAGUUUAAUGGGGUUCCAUUGCCAGUAUUUGGCAUAUCUGCGGUUGCAGAACCAUCCAAUUUUGUAGGGUGAGGGAAAAAAUCUGCUCUAGGUUGCCCCGAAACUUGGUUUGUUUCUGAGACAGAACCAGCCAGUGGUGGUGCACUUGGAACAUCAUCAGGUAACUUAUAAUUCUGGACUCCUGCACCUUGAAGAACCUGUAAGAGAAAAAUAGUAGCAUAUAAAAUUUGAUUCAAGAAAGGAAAAUAACAAUCGCAGCACAUAGCAGCACUACAAGCAGUUUUGUGCACUACUACCACUUGAUAGACAUCAAUUAUUGCAGGUGCCUCUUGAGCAUGGAGGAGGAAAAGGCAACGUAGGUAGGUGACUGCGCUAGGACUUAAUUUAGCAGCCAUCCAACGGCUUUAAUGUAGCAUACAGAGGUAAGUUCAGACGAAAAACCUGUCUUGGUGUCUUAGCAUUUGGUUGUAGAUUUCCAUUGAAGUAGUAAACCUCUGAAGUUCCAUUCCUGAGGUCUGGCACACUAGCAUCGAUACUUCUGAUACCUUGUGCUCCUAAACUUCGAAAAUUACUCUGAUGUUUGCCUGCAAAAUGUACAAUAUUCAGAAUGAAAGCACCAACAGUUACAUUAUCUUCUCCGUAAAAAGAAUUCACUGCUUUUGAAAACAACACACCGUUCACAAAUUUAUCAUCUUGGGGCGAUGUUUCAACCGAAUAACGUCCACCGUAAGCCUCACUAUCCGAGUCAGAGCUGGUAUCCAUGUCCGACUCUGAACCGAUUCCAGCGCCAUUUUUGACAGGCAUGCCUCUGGACACCGGGAUAAUCCCAGAUGGCAGGUGUCCACUUUGAAAUCUAGUUGCAGAAGGCAAUCCAAAGCCUCGACCUCCCCGGCUUUGGUUCCUCAAACCGACAACAUGAUCAGCCUGAGUCGGCAUUGAUGAAAUCAACUUUUCCGCUUCCUUGCAGUAUAAUAUCCUAAUCCAUCAAAAAAAAAAAUCAGAACAUCAGUUGCCUAAAACCAAGAAGAAAAACGAAGGGAAAAAAAAAAAGAACCUUACUUGAAUUCAAUGGUGUGAGAGAUUAAUAUAGCAGAAGGCCCACUAUUAAUACACAAUGCAGCAGGAAGAUAGCAAAUGAAACACCCUUUUCCUUAUUGGGAUUAAUUUGGAAAUCAAAUUAGAAGGAUUCCACUUUUAUUUUCUUUCAAUAUUUUCCUAAAUUGUCUUUUUUAAAGAAUCUGAGAAAGAUUGUAAUCAGCUUCCAUUUUUUUUCCCAUCCCAAUUCAAUGCAACCAGAAAGAUACGAUUUUGAUCCAAUAAUUCGUUAAAGAGAACAAAAAAAGAUCACUCUCCAUAUACAUUGAACCCACAAAUGAAACAAGGAAAAAGAAAAGGAAUUCUUGGCAACUUUUGCUAUGCAACAGUAGUGACACACGCUACCAAAUGUAAAAAUGCACUUACCAGUGUGUGAGAAGAAGCUGUAGAGGCUGCACUUUUUCUGCAGUCUUCUCAAUGGGUUUUCACAGUUACUUGGCUUAAACUAGCCUUGGUUUCCUUAAUCUGGAUUAUAGUCCCAAACAUGCUAGUUAACAAAUGUGGCUUAGCAUUUUGGGGAAAUUAAUAUAGUAUGGAGUUCUUGAAUUCGGGUUUGGAGGUUUUUUUUUUUUUUUUUUAAGGUUUAAUGAGCAAAGGAUGGAUUAGCACUAAAAAGGAGACGUUAAAAAUCAAAAGUUCGCAUGGCAGAAAUUAACGGAGACGUGGGGGGAAAUUAACGCGAGGGGAUGACGUGGCACCCGCAUGUUCUGUCUUUUGAUAACGGCCGGUCGUUAGUGGCGCGUCUUUGGGGCGUUUCUUUUUGGAUUACCAGUUGGUGCACACUCAUUUUGUUGCCUCCUUUCUGCCUUUGCUUCAUUGCUUGUAGGCACUCUCUCUCUCUCUCUCUCUCUCUCUAGACACGUUUGUAUGUGAGAGAGAAAAUUGUUUGUGUGCCAUCUUGGAAAUCUAACCUAAGUGGGAGCCUGCUGUGUCCUUUGUUAAUUGCACUGCUUAAUCACUAAGAAAGUGAUGUGUAAGGUGCAAAAAAGGGGCAAAAAAUAUGUUAAUCUUGAAAUGGAAAGAUUUGGUAUUGUACUAUAAUAUAUAUUCACUUCCAUCCUUGAUUUGGUUAAACAAGAUUUUGGUGUGAAAAAGCCUUUCUCAAAUAAUAUUGAUAUCAGAGUCACAUAUCAUUCAUCCGAUCGUGAUAAUGUAUAUACUGACAAUAAUAUAUAUAAAAUUUACUCGUACUUUGGGUUUGUUUGGGUUGCUUCAUAUUUUCCCAAUUUUAUUUGCUUACAUCAUCUUUACAAUUUCCAAUACACCUUUUUAUCUUCCCAAUAUCUUUUUAUCUCGCAUACAUCACAUCACAAAAAGUGCUACAGUAAAAAUAUCUCAAAUAAUCCCAAAUAACUUACAAUCCAAACAGACCCUUAAUUGCUUCAUUUUGAUUUUGUAUUUUACUUCCGUAUAUAAACAAUUUAUAGCUUGAGGGCUAAGUUAAUGAUCAAAGCAGAUUCUUUGAAUUUCUUCUCACUUGACAAUCUAAUCUUCUAAACAAUACCGAGUAAAAGUUUUGAUAUCUUGGAUGAAAUUGCCUUUUUAAAGUAAACAAUUGAAGAAGUGCAUGAACUUCUAUUAAAUGUAAGCCUUCCUUAAAAAUUUUCAUAAUUACUUAGUAGUGUUUUCGGUCAAAUGACGAUGUCAAAAUCUAAUCGGCUAUGCUUUUGGCCCAGUAACUGGUCUCCUAGGCGCUAGUUAACACUUUUUGACUGUGAUGGUUCCCAAAAGUGCACCAUACCAUAUGACCUUGACAACGUUGAAAAAGGGUUUAUUUUCUUGGUUUUGGGGGUCUAAAGUAGAAGCCCUAGAAUUCUAAAGCGUUAGCUGUUAAGUAGUAGACUAGUAGUUGUUUACAACUAGCAUCUCUUUCCACUGGCUGACAAAAUUGUCCACCGCCAUCUUCCAAAUGAACAUGUUGAAGGGUACUCGAAGCAAAGCAAAAGCAACAAAACAGAGGAGCAUGUGAAAAUAAUUCAAGAACCAUAUCAUUAUUAUUAGUAUAAUAAAUAACAGUAAUCUAUCACCAUCCAAGCAGGCAAAUGAUUAACACAAUUGGCAAAUGUGGGCCACUUGAACAAGAAGACAAGAGCCCCACGUGAAUGGACUGGUGGUUGGCGUCUCUUCCUCGGGACCGUUAGAUCCUGGGGUCGAAUCUCCGCAACAACAUCGGCUUCUCCGUGCUGUUAUCAUGCUAGGUCUAAGUUGGGGCGUUGGACCGGGGCCGAAGUGGGAUUAGUCGGACCGCCUUUAUGGACUUGACCCGGACACCCACUCCGUCGACAAAAAAAAAAAAAAAAAAAACAAGAAGACAGGAUAAUUGAUUCAAUUAGCUUGUCUACCGUGUGGUGCACCUAUGGGGGCGACCUUUGCAUAGUCGCAGAGAAAUUAGUCUGAUAUAAAUUAAGAUAUUCCUUGCGUGAGUCAAAAAAAAACAAAAAAAAAGAAGAAGACAUGAGAGUAAUUGAGGACUACAAAAAGAUUUGGUUAACAGUUUAUGAUAGAUAGUAAACUAUAUUGGUUAAAAGGAUACUUGGGCGCAUCAUCCUUCAAUUAGAGGACAAAAAAUCUGGGGGUAAUUAUGCUAAAAGAUGUUAAACAGUCUCCUUUCUCAUUGGAAUCAUUUCACUGGAACAGCUUUACACGGCUGCCGAACAGCACGCACCGUGCUGGUCUUCGGACACAAAACAGUUCUUCAGGAAUGAAUCCUUUUGUGAAUAUAAAACCGUGCAAGAAACCAAACCAGGCUUAAGGGGUGUCUUCAAUAUUCUGUUGGAAGAGCGCCAACAGCUUCUAUAUUGCUUUCUUUAGUUAAAGUUUCAAAAGGGCAGAUUCAUCUAGGCCACAUCUGCCUAAACAAAUGAAAGUCCAAAAACUGGCAAGUAGGAAAAUAUUAUCAGUAAAUAAAGAUUUUGAUCUUCUAUUUCAGAUUAUACAUCGACCUAAGAUCCUACUAUCCACAUAUUGACAACCAAAACUGAGUCAUUAAACUUUGACCAUCUCUUCUGACAAACCUUACUCAAUUUAUAUAUCUAAUUGCAACAAAAUCAUAGCCAUAUCCAUGAGUCCACGUCAAUCAUCAUCUGAACCAAGGACUUGUUGCUUAAUAUCUUCAAUUUUAGCAGCCAACUCCUCCCUACUUUUCUGCAGAAACCAAGGUAAACAAAAAUAAUUUAUGAUUGCUAACUAGGAAGGUAAUGAAGAAUGGGGCGCCAAUUUGACAGGGAAACUACCUUGAAAAGUAGAUAGCGGGUACCGAACCAUACUGUGUAGGAAAGUCCCACGACUUGCAUCAACUUUGGAACCUGAAAUGAUAGAGUCCCUUGUGUCAGUAAUAAAGCCCCAAACGAUUCUCAAAACAUGACUAAAUGAGUUUGAGAAAAUUAACGCUCGUACAUACCAAAGGAAUCGAAUCAAUUGCGCCAACCACUGCAGUUGCUAUAUAGACGGCAACCAGCGCACCACCGCCAAAUAAGAGGAUUGGGUAUUUAUCGUCCGAAUCAAACUGCAAAAUAAUCAACAAACAAUUCCAAUAAGAAAGGACUACAUCUGGAGAAUUCAUGCUUAAUUUCUUGUUACUUUUCAUUCACGAGACUUUGUUCCCUUUUUUAUUUUUGAAUUGACCUCUUUUAGCAUAUUUAAGCUUUUUUGUUUUUUUCAGGUGGGCGAAGAAGUCUUCUGAUAAAAGUGCUUGCCACGUUCAAAAGAAACAGUACAUAUUAAUCAGUUCACUCUUCUUCCUCGCAGAUGAACACAAGUAACUUUUUGACAGGCCACCCCACUUAAUUACCAGUGUCAACAAAUCACGAAACAAGAAAUCAGGAACAAAAAUUAGAUCACCAUCAGCACACAAACCUUCAGUGAGAAAAAAAAAGUAAACAGAGAAAGUUCUUCAAAACGAAUACAGCAAAAAGACGGAGCAAAAGGAAAAGGAACCAAAAUAAUGCAGAAACUUUAUUUGAUCAUGAUAACAAAAGUUUCUGACUCAGUCAAAACCACUGACACAACAAUUCUACCUCUCCCCUCUUUCAAAACUGCAUUACUACCCCCAUACACCCAGCUACCUUGGACUACAUUAAAGCUUGAAACUUAAACCAAAGGCACGGAAGGCCACAGAAAGGAAAAUUAGCAAAGAGAACUUCAAUUGGAGCAUCAUAAGAUAUACCAUGGGAUUCAUAAGAUAGAGACAGUGAGAAAGUAGAAGAAUGCAAAUCAAAGUUACAAGAUUGAGGUUGCUCAGGUAACCGCUCAGGAUCGACGUAAUUGCCGACAUAUCAUCAAGCAUCUAUAACUUUCCAAAUAUCAUAACAAAAAAAAGUCAUCAUAGCAACCUGCUUAGUUAUUGAUUGUUCCUUGAUGAAAAAGAAAAAUGCACAGACAAAAAAUUAGGAAGAGUUGGAAAACAGAAUAUUCACAAAAACAUUUACUAAGAACAGGAAAAUACGGGUGUUGGACAAAAUUGAUUUAAAAUGAUGAAAGGCUGCUCAGGUAACCGCUCAGGAUCGACACAAAUUGUCGAAGUCUCAUCAAGAAACUUUCAAUAAGUUUUGAUUUUCAUCAUAGCAACCAAGUAAUUCUUGCAAAAUAAAAGAUGUAAGAUAAUUACAAAAAGCAAGUUCAUACAGCUGAUGCCUAUAAAACUUGGCUGAGCACCAAGGAAGAUGGAUCAUCCAUAAAGGAAAGGAAAAAGUUUGCAGCUGGUGUCACAUGAAGAAGAAACCACCUGUUUCAGUCCUCUGUAUUCAGGUCUAGAAGAAUAAAAAAUGCUAAGGUAAAAAAAUUCAAACUAAUAAAGGUGGAAAUUUGUCAACAUUUGGACAGAAAUUUCCAAUUCAUGCAGACCACGAGUUAUUAGAUCAAAAGAAUGGACAAAGUGAAUCCUCAUUUAAACAAAAAGGGUCCUUUAUUCUCCAAACGGAAAUGGCUUAAAAUAGGAUGACACUCCAAGCAAUCAGCAUCCUAUCUUUCAAACUGACCAAGUAAAAAAUUUGUAAAUAGCCUUCUGACAUGGCUUCAGCCUCUAAACUACAGAUAAACAGUUUGGCAGAAUUUGUCCUGAAAAAGAAUUAAGACUAACAGAGAGGGCAACACUAAAAAUGUAAGCUGCUAGGAGCAAAACUAUCUAUGGAGUCAUAGUGGAGUUCUUCACUUUCAAUUGAGUUCAUUAAAGAUAGUUAUUUGUGCAACAAAGACCACACAAUAUUAUUGUUUACAAGAACAUCCUAAAAGGAAAAUGAGGAUGAUCAAAAGCAGCUCAAACACAAUAAGCAAAUACAAAGAACUAGACACAAACCUUUAUGUUGAGCUUCUCUAAAAACUCAAAUGCCAGCACUUGAUUUUCUUCAGGAGAAUCUUGUUUUGGUUCUUCGUUUGGAAAUUUUUCUCCAUACUCAAAUGCCUGCACUUGUUUUUCUUCAGAAGAAUCUUCUUUUGGUGCUUCGUUCGGAAAUUUUUCUCCAUACACAUUCUUUUCAACUGACCUGGACUCUUCCAACGUCACCACACCAUCUGGUCCAUCUUUGGUAUAUUUACUAGCCCCAGUUGAAAUUUCAUCAGAGAGUGAUGAUCUGAGAGACAAGUUGGUGCAAUAUCGCAAUCCUGAAGCGAACACAUAAAAAUCAGUCGCAACUGUUCCUGAAUUUCUUUCUUUUUCUUUCUUUAACCCUUACAAAAAAUUUCUAAAUUAGUUUCCUAAUGCUACUAUAGGAAGUGUUUACAAAAACACAUUCCAUUUGACUAUUCACGUUAUAAUAAAAGGGUAAACAGACAUCACAUAGGUGUUAUUUUCAACACCAUUUCUAAUCAACUUAUUGAUUCUUUAAAGCAACCAAUCACAGUUCAGCUAAACCAUAUCUGUACUGACCAAACCAGAAAAAACAACGGGGUUAUUUACAUAAAUAUCGAAGGUUUUUUUCACGAUAUUAAAUAAAUUUUAAUACUUUAAUUUGGAUUCAAAGCAUAGAAAAUCAAUUUCUUGACUUCUUCUUUAUUUUCUCGCCUCUUGUCAAGGUUCCUGCUCUUCCUACGUUCUUCCAUAUGAAAGUUACUGUACCCUUCUCUCCUCCAGCCUUGUAGUGGUCAUGCUCACAAGUCAGUGGGGAGAAGGUGGUCACUAAUAUUUAUAAGGUGAUGGCGGCAGUACUUUCAGGCCUACCAUGAAUUUUGCAGCUGCAAAUCGCCUCCCUAUUUUUUUUAAGGAUUCAAUUUCUCGAUUUUUCAAAUUCCCAUUAAAUCAUCAAUGUUGUGUAUUUUUUAUGAAAAAGUUUAAUAAUUUGAUUAUCAGUAACCCAUAAACAAUGAACUCAACCUGCCCAAAUCCCCUGAUAACAUGGUUUAUAAUCUCAUUUCUUAUUCUAAAUCCAACCCCAUGCCAUUGCACAACAACAAAACAAACAAAAUCUCCUCAUUGCUGAGAAACCCGUUGCACCAAGCUAAACCCAAUAAUCCCAUUGUUCCAUUCACAAAAAACGCCUGAUAAAUUCACAAUAAACAUCGAGAAAUGAUCCACGGAUUAACAAUAAAUAAGACUUGGGAUUGAAACAAUUACCUGAAGGGUUGAAAUGGGACGGAGAGAUUCUUGAAGCAGGGAAUUUGGGAUUAAGUUUCCGAAAUCGACCUAUUGGGGAAGCACCGGCAGUGAAGAGCCUGCAAUAUGGAUGAUUCGAGAUUGAUCGAGCUGUGCAAAGCUCCAUUUUUUUCCCUCUUUCAGCUAAUUUAACUCGAUUAAGCCCUAAAUAUGAUUAGGGAUUUUCAGACUGGGGGAAUUUAUGGAGGAAUGUUAGUGAAAAUGUGGAACGCUAGGGUUUAGCGGCGGGGAAGAACAUAGCAACACGUGUUACGUAAUUGGUGGACCGUUGGUUUACUAGAUAAAGAGGGGAAAAUAAAAUAAUAAAUGGUGUGGGUUUUUUUUUUUUUUUGAAAAGUAAGCUUGUCGUUAAAGGAAAACAAAAACGAAAAUGAGUUGGAUUUGAAAGAUAUUACUAAUAUGUUUUCUUCCAUAAUUCUGAGGUCAAAAAAAAUAGGAAAAAGGGGCCAUGGGAGGGAGUCCUUCAAAAAGGUUGAAAAUAGAAUAAUUCAUUGAUUGCCAUCUUCUAUUUUUGUGGUUUUGAAAAUUCAUUGAUUCUCAAAUUUCAAUCACUAACUCCCUCCACCCCCACCCCCCCUCUUGUGUAUAUAUAUAUAUAUAUAUAUAUGUGUGUGUGUGUGUAGAGGCUUCUAAUUGAAGAGAGUGAAUAGAUCAAUAGAUACUUGGAUUCUAAUUUAAUAUUUAACCUUCUUCGAAAAAGUUUUGUAAUUCUUCUCUCUUCUAAUAAUAUUUAUUGCCUAUUAAAAAGUUAAAUAACUUUGCUAAAUCCAUAUAUAGUUCCUUAGUUUAGUGGAUUGUUUGAUUCUUAGAUUGGAUAUUUAUUAAUUUCGUUAGAAACUAAACUGUUUGUUCGUGAGAAAAUAGAUUGCUGUAAUUUUUUGUGUUUAACUAAAAAUAAAUAUGUAUUCUAGGUGUAUAAUCAUUGUAAAAGUUUGAAUGGCCAUCUCAAAGAAAAUCUAUAAUUUCAUUUUUAUAUAUUUGUUGAAUAUUACUUCACGACAAUAUAAAAAAUUUUAAGCAUUGGUAUAUUAGUUAAGUAUUUAGAAUACAACAAUUUUUUGAAUUAAAUAUGAAUAAAUAUGUAAAAGUGUCAUUGAUAUUUCUUUCUUGGAAUAUAUCCCCUGGCUUAUAACUAAUCCAAAUUUUGAAAAAAAAAAAUCAUGUACUAAUGCACGGGCUAAAAGCCCAAAACCAAUAAUUAAUCACUUUGUGAACUCUUUUUCUAAAUUUCAAAGCCCAAAAGUUUUGCAGUAGACCUCCUUCCGUAACAAAUUCCAAACUUCCAAAUUUCAAUCCAAAUACGACAACUGUCAACCCUCAAAAACCUUGGGCCUGUUUGGAAGUGAGUUUUUUGACCAAGUUUUUUACCUACUAGUUUUUUAACAACUUUUGCUACAGGAAUCCCAAAAAACUUCUUAAAGUUUUUUCCCUACACACUUCAAAAAUCUAAUAAACAAAAAAUUUUCCAAAAAUUUUUCUCUUUUUUCCUCCCUCAUCCAACCCACCAUGCCAGCCACCACCUCCACCACCUGUACCGGCGCCGGUCAUCUAAAAAUUUUUUUUUUCUGUCCUUCACCCUCACCCCCUCUCCUUUGCAGAAAGAGGAGUAACGCUGUCGUUUAUGCCGGGGGUUGGCCCGACUGUCUUUCUUUAUUUAUUGUUUUUUUUUUUUUUACAAAUCACCCAAAGUGGAGUUAGGGUUGGGGGAUCCGUUAUUUCCAUGGCGGGCAUGGAAGGAAUUGCAGCGGCGGGAGGAACUGGAAUUAGAAGUAGAAGUGGAAUAGGGGGAGGAGGAGGAGGUGUCUCAGUCUCAGAGGGGGGGAGAGGAGAGGAGCCAAAAAAAAAAAAAAGAAAAACAUAACCAAGCAGGGGCAUGGAGGUCGAACGACUGCGCGCGCAUUAUGACUGGAGUGCGCUGUGGUCGCGCUAUGAAGAAGGUGCACCAGGAGCUGGGCUGGCUGAUGCGCUUGCGGAGGAGGUCGGCGGCGCACCAGGCUCUCUGGCGCACCUGCGUUUCUGAUCAAAGAGGCGCCGGAGGUGGUGGUCGGCGCUCCAAGAAACAAGGGGAGGGAGAGGGGGGAAGGGGCAGUGGAGGAGGGGGUGGUAGGGCAGAGGAGGUGGCGGGGCAGCGGGGGAAGAGGUUGCGUGCAGAAGGGAGGGGAAGGCGGGUAGCAGGGGAAGGGGUUGUGCAGAGGGGAGGGGGAAGAGGGGGAGGGGGUGGCGGAGCAGUGAGGGAAGGGGCAGCGGUGGGAGGGGUUGGCAUGCAGAGGGGAGGGGAAAGGCAGAGGAGAGGAGGGGGGGAAAGGGAGGAGAGGGGUGGCGGGAGGGGGAAGGAAGAAGAAGAAGAAGAAAGAGAGGAAAGAAAAGAAAAAGGAAAGAAAGAAAAAGAAAAAGAAAAAGAAAGAAAAAAAGAAAAGGAAAAAAAAUUUCACCUUACAAAAACUUCUACAAAAAUUUUACCUUACAAAAACUUCUAUAAAAAAUUUUUUCACCUUUCAAAAUUUUCUACAAAAUUUUUUCAAAAACUUCUACAGUGCACUACAGUAAAGUUUUAAACAAACUCUCAAAAAACUCAGAUUCCAAACAGGCCCCUUGUUUAUACCCUGCAUACCUGAAACUCUUGAGACAAUUUUUGUGUACGAGCUUAGCUUACUUUAAUUGCAUCAAAAAUGGCUGAUUCCCAAAUUUUAACUCAAAAGCAAAACCAGUACAUGGCAAAACUAGCCCAUGAAUCCGAGCGUUACAAUGACAUGAUGAAUUACAUGAAAAAUCUUGCAUGUACAGAGGUUUCUCCAUCUUCCGAUUUAACCCUGGAGGAGCGAAGGCUACUUUUCUUGGCUUGCACGAAGGUGAUUGGCUCCCUUCGUUCUGCAUGGCGGUCUGUGGCUUCCGUGGAAGAGAAGGAACUGGUUGAACAGUAUCGAGUCAGCAUUGAAGCCGAAAUUUCGAAGUUUUGUGAUGGGAUUUUGGAGUUGUUGGAUAAAUCCUUGAUUCCUUCAGCCUCCUCGAGUGAGUCGCAGGUUUUUUACCUCACAAAGAAGGGAGAUUACGAGAGGUACUCGGCUGAAAUUAAGGAUGGUGAUGAUUUUAACUUGGCUUCUGAAAAAGCCAUGGAAUCUUAUAAUGCUGCAGAGGUAGUUUUCACAAACUUAUGCAUGCAAAAAUUACUUAUGUCCGAAUUAAUUAAGAACUCGCAAAGUUGUCUAAUUUUUCAUACAUACACAUAUUUUUUGGUAAUAUUAAAAGGCAAGCUAAAUAGUACAGGUCCCUUUUUCUUGAUGUUUUUGUUUGGGGAAUGAGAUUAUUAGGGUUUGACUUGUGUCCCCUAGUAACUUUUUCUUAUUAUUAGGAGAAUUAGAAUUGGCAUCCCUUCCCUAUAUAGAUUUUUUUUUUGCUAGAGAAAAAAAAAAGAUUAUUAGGGUUGCAUGGCAGACUUGAUUGCUCGCUGGAGUCCAAAUUACUGGGCUUAAGUUUUAAACAAGUAAAUUAUCUCCCAAUCGAUCAAGGCAAUGUGGAGGCUGACAUGCACAAUGUUGCUCAUAUGGAUGUUUCUUAUGUUUAUGUUCUGCACUAUUUCAAUUAGAGUAGUAAAAGAGGGCAAAUUGUAUGAAAAGAUUUAAGCAUUUAAUGUAUCAUUUUUAGGGGCCUAAUUAUUGUUUAUAAUAAUAUUUUCAAGUUGAUAAAUUGCUUUAUUCACUUUUUUCGUUCUUUGGAACAGAGAACUGCGUUGGCUGGCAUUCGUCCAUCGCAUCCUGUAAGGUUGGGUCUGGCUAUCAACUUGUCGGUUUUCUACUAUGAUGUCCUGGAAUCAUCGCAAGCUGCUCUUAGCACGGCCAGUUUGGUAAGUUUAUUCCCCACUGUUCCAAUAAUAUGCAGCCAUUGGAAGUACCAUAAAAGAGUUACUUAAGACCUUUUUUUCGAUAAAAGUUUGCUUUAGUUUUUAGAGCUAAAUAUGCAAUCCGAUCCAAAAACAUAUAACAUUGCAAUCUUUUAAAUUUACUGUUUAUAAAUUGUUGCUCAAAAAAUUUUCUGAAAAAUAAAGGUCAGUUUAAUCUCAGUGUUUGUGAUGGAAGCGUCCAAGAAGUCUUAAUUAUAACCAUAUGCAGUCGAUGACAUUGCUGGAUAUUUGUAUUUGAUCUCUUCUUGAACAAACUAAUAUCAUAACUCUACCUGCAGAUAAUCACACACAGCAAAAUAUCAAAUAUGCACAAGUAACUGGUAGAAAAUAAGCUGUGUCUUCUUAAAUGCAAUAAUACACACUUGAGUUUUGAGAAUGUGACAUGCAUUUACUUGCUCUUUUUAGGCUUCUAUACAUAUUGAACGUACUUGCUUCUUCACAUGAGCUAGUUGAAUUUGUUCGCUCUUUUUUUGCAGGCCUUAAGGGAUGCUCUUGCAGACAUAAAUUCAUUGCCUGAAGAACUCUACCAGGAAAGCACACAUAUGAUGCAACAACUCCAAGAUAAUCUCGAUCUUUGGAAGGAGCCUUGAACUUCUUCUUAGAUAUUGAGGAUUGUGAGUUACAGUUUUUUAAUAGGAAGAGUUAACAACAAAGCUUUUUUUUCUUUCAUUUUCACACUUUUUUCUUUAUUUUUUCCUUUUGAGACAAGGCAGUUCAAUUGCAGUAACGAAUUUCUCAGCAAUGGUAUAUGCUGGCAUGAAGGAAAUUAAACCAAGUUAUUUUAGUAUUUAGUUUCCUAAUUCUUUUAAUUUCUUGUUUUGGUAUCUUCUUUGUUUAGUUUUCAUAUUAAUUUAAGAAAUUUUAAAUCAAUUUCAAGUAAGUUUCGAUUUACAAUUGUUUCUAUUUAGGAAGUUUUGCAAUGUAUAAAUAUUAGGAGUCUAGUACAUUAUUUUUUGAAGAGUUGAGUGGAGUUUCCAAGAAUUGAGUUGAGUCUUGUUAAGUUGAGUUGAGAGAAAAGUCUCUAAGUUGAGAGUUGUGAAUUGCCUUAAAUGAAAUUGUCUUAAGCGAAAGGUAACGACUUGAUAUUAUUAUUAAGUACUUAUUUGUGUGUUUGUUCUCCUCCUCUUCUCACAUAUUUUUAUAUGUGUUAGAAUUGUUUCCGCUAUGCAUGUUUUUUUGAGCCAACAAGUGAUAUCAAUAUUCUAGACUUUGGUCCUAAUGUUUGUUCAUGAAAUUAAAGUAUGGGUUCGUAUUAUUUACAAUGUUCUGACGUUUUUAUUGUCACGCCCCGAACCCGCAUAUGCCCGUCACAUGACAUCCGCCGUACUCCCAAGUCUCACUCAAGAAUACAAGGUUACAUUAAUAACAGCCCUAAAUAAUUCAACUAAAUAAAAUGCGGUACGAAUUACAUAUAAAAAGAAGUCUACGAAUAUUCAAGACGUUCGUACAUUUAUUCUCCAAUUGAAACACGGAAACAAAAGUAAAUAAGACUAAUAACUAGAAGUAGCUAGCCUGCCAACUUCUAUGCACCUAAACUAAUAAAAGUCGUUCUCAUGGUCUUCUAUGUAAACCAAUUCAUACUCUUCCGAAUCUGCAAAAAUGGUAAGAAGUAGGUUGAGCGACACAUCGCUCAGUAGGUAAUAUUUACCCCUCUGUUGGACCAUGCACUCUUAGUUUUAUACAUAUAUAUAUAUAUAUAUAUAUAUAUAUAUAUAUAUAUAUAUAUAUAUAUAUAUAUAUGUAAGUAUAAUUCAAAUCAUUUGCAAAUCAUUCACAUCCAUAGUUUUAAAAGUAACGUCAUUUAUAAAACAAUUAGCAGUAAAGAAUGACAAGGAAUUUAAAAGCACUUUAUUGAUGCCCAUACAUGAGAAAUCGCAAUGUCAUAAACCACUUUAUAACAA